Zootermopsis nevadensis is the source of this 669-nucleotide non-coding RNA. Lineage: Eukaryota; Metazoa; Arthropoda; Insecta; Blattodea; Termopsidae. The record is from RefSeq and is a predicted model, not a curated record.
GUCAGUGAUCAGGAACUGCCCUUCCACUACGUAUAUUCGAACGUUGUUAUCUGUGGUAUAUUUAACUCAAGUAGGUAACGUUAUCCAGUUAGUGACGUUUUAUGAUGCCAUCAUGAAAAUGUUCUUUUUCCAACAUCUUUCCUGUAUUCUUACGCCAGUGGGAAAUUCAAACACACUGGGAUGCAUAAAAAAGCAAAAGCAAAACUGUCCCAUUAUGCAUACAUAAUGCUAUAACUAGGUUGUGAUGGCUUGAAGAUGACAUCAAAAAUGAAGAUUAUGGCAGGAUAGAUAUAUUGAAAUAAGGAUGACAUUACAUUUUGUUUUAAAGUGUGUUAGUGUUUAUAAUUAAUGUUCUGGAUAUCCAGAUAUGCAUUUUCAUCUAUCGAACAAUUCUAUUAAUUAGGAAUUGCAACAAUUGUUAAUAUAUGGUAUAUAUAACAUCCUUUCAUUAAUAAACUCAAUUUAUUAACAGCAAUUUUGAAUCUCUGAUUUAAUUAAAAUCUAGUUCCAGAUUACAGUUAUUAUUGUGUUUAAUCUGUAAAAUAGUCUCCUUCUCAAAGGAGUGGAUAUAGUGUCACUAAAGAAUUCCAAUAUAUUUAAAAUAUGGACCUGCAAUCUCUGUUUAUAAAAGAGAGUAUGAAGAUAAAUAAAAACACACUACUAUUAUUA